UCUUAGGGGUGCUAGGGUUCCGGUCGCGCGCGAGUGCGAUGCCUGGUCCGAGAGCAGCCCGGCACGGGCCGGCGCGCGAUGCGCGGGACACGUGCUACACGGCGGGACAAAAGCCCGGGAGAG
Molecule: small RNA, 123 nt
Filed under: Burkholderia gladioli
Lineage: Bacteria; Pseudomonadati; Pseudomonadota; Betaproteobacteria; Burkholderiales; Burkholderiaceae
Description: Guanidine-I sequence
Rfam family: Guanidine-I riboswitch aptamer
About the family: This family represents a conserved RNA structure found upstream of the ykkC and yxkD genes in Bacillus subtilis and related genes in other bacteria. The function of this family is unclear although it has been suggested that it may function to switch on efflux pumps and detoxification systems in response to harmful environmental molecules.
Source: RNAcentral